GAUUUAACGCUGGCGGCGUGCCUAACACAUGCAAGUCGAACGAGGUAGCAAUACCUAGGUGGCAGACGGGUGAGUAACGCGUGGUCAAACCUACCCUAGAGUGGGGGAUAACUAGCCAAAAGGUUAGCUAAAUACCGCAUGAAACGUGCCGGGGCAUCUCGGAAAUGUUGAAAAGGAGCAAAUCCGCUCAAAGGACGGGACCGCGUCCCAUUAGCUAGUU
Molecule: ribosomal RNA, 220 nt
Filed under: uncultured bacterium
Lineage: Bacteria
Description: partial 16S ribosomal RNA
Rfam family: Bacterial small subunit ribosomal RNA
Source: RNAcentral